AGCGAACGCUGGCGGCAGGCCUAACGCAUGCAAGUCGAACGAACUCUUCGGAGUUAGUGGCGGAUGGGUGAGUAACACGUCGGAACGUGCCUUUAGGUUCGGAAUAACUCAGGGAAACUUGUGCUAAUACCGAAUGUGCCCUUCGGGGGCAAGAUUUAUCGCCCUUAGAGCGGCCCGCGUCUGAUUAGCUAGUUGGUGAGGUAAAGGCUCACCAAGGCGACGAUCAGUAGCUGGGCUGAGAGGAUGGUCAGCCACAUUGGGACUGAGACACGGCCCAAACUCCUACGGGAGGCAGGCAUGGGGGAUCUUGCGCAAUGGGCGAAGGCCUGACGCAGCCAUGCCGCGUGAAUGAUGAAGGUCUUAGAAUUGUAAAAUUCUUUCACCGGGGACGAUAAUGACGGUACCCAGAGAAGAAGCCCCGGCUAACUUCGUG
Molecule: ribosomal RNA, 433 nt
Filed under: uncultured bacterium
Lineage: Bacteria
Description: partial 16S ribosomal RNA
Rfam family: Bacterial small subunit ribosomal RNA
Source: RNAcentral